RNAcentral lists this unclassified non-coding RNA (345 nucleotides) under uncultured fungus. RNAcentral describes it as "sequence contains ITS1". Lineage: Eukaryota; Fungi. The record is from RNAcentral.
CUGGGCAAUCUCGACCUGUGGUCGCAUUUCUCAUCGAAGGUCUUCAGUGCCGACGCGGUCACGCGGCCUAAGCCGGCGCCCGAUCUGCUGCUUUAUUGCGCUCGCCAGUUCUCGGCAGCGCCGGAGCAUUGCGUCAUGAUCGACGACAGCCCGCACGGCGUGGAAGCGGCAGUCGCCGCCGGCAUGCUGGCGAUAGGAUUUGUCGAUCCAGCUGAUCCGCGCCCAAGCCGCAGGGCGCUGCUGAUCGAGGCUGGGGCAAUGACCGUCGCCACGGGGGCCGACGGGCUGCUGGAAGCGCUUUCGCGGGCAAACAUCGAACUGGCUCAUCGCAGGGGUGGAUCAAGC